GUAGUCAUAUGCUUGUCUCAAAGAUUAAGCCAUGCAUGUCUAAGUAUAAGCAACUUGUACUGUGAAACUGCGAAUGGCUCAUUAAAUCAGUUAUCGUUUAUUUGAUAGUACCUUACUACAUGGAUACCUGUGGUAAUUCUAGAGCUAAUACAUGCUAAAAACCCCGACUUCAGGAAGGGGUGUAUUUAUUAGAUAAAAAACCAACGCCCUUCGGGGCUCCUUGGUGAAUCAUAAUAACUUAACGAAUCGCAUGGCCUUGCGCCGGCGAUGGUUCAUUCAAAUUUCUGCCCUAUCAACUUUCGAUGGUAGGAUAGUGGCCUACCAUGGUGGCAACGGGUAACGGGGAAUUAGGGUUCGAUUCCGGAGAGGGAGCCUGAGAAACGGCUACCACAUCCAAGGAAGGCAGCAGGCGCGCAAAUUACCCAAUCCCGAUACGGGGAGGUAGUGACAAUAAAUACUGAUACGGGGCUCUUCUGGGUCUCGUAAUUGGAAUGAGAACAAUUUAAAUCCCUUAACGAGG
RNAcentral lists this ribosomal RNA (520 nucleotides) under uncultured fungus. RNAcentral's name for it is "SSU rRNA". It matches the Rfam family "Eukaryotic small subunit ribosomal RNA", at positions 20 to 542 of the family's 1831-position model. Lineage: Eukaryota; Fungi. The record is from RNAcentral.